This 208-nucleotide ribosomal RNA is filed under the name uncultured bacterium. Its description in RNAcentral is "partial 16S ribosomal RNA". It matches the Rfam family "Bacterial small subunit ribosomal RNA", at positions 568 to 775 of the family's 1533-position model. The record is from RNAcentral.
UGCGUAGGUGGCGUCGUAAGUCGGGUGUGAAAUCUCGGGGCUUAACUCCGAAACUGCAUUCGAUACUGCGGUGCUUGAGGACUGGAGAGGAGACUGGAAUUUACGGUGUAGCAGUGAAAUGCGUAGAGAUCGUAAGGAAGACCAGUGGCGAAGGCGGGUCUCUGGACAGUUCCUGACACUGAGGCACGAAGGCCAGGGAGGCAAAACG